ACGUACGCUGGCGGCACGCCUAACACAUGCAAGUCGAACGAAGUAGCAAUACUUAGUGGCAGACGGGUGAGUAACAUGUAGGUAUCUACCCUUUGGCCUGGAAUAACACGAGGAAACUUGUGCUAAUACCGGAUAAGUCUUUACGGAGAAAGCUUUAUGCACCAUUGGAUGAGCCUGCACUUGAUUAGUUUGUUGGUGGGGUAAUGGCCUACCAAGACUUUGAUCAAUAGCUGAUUUGAGAGGAUGAUCAGCCACAUUGGGACUGAGACACGGCCCAAACUCCUACGGGAGGCAGCAGUGGGGAAUCUUGCACAAUGGAGGAAACUCUGAUGCAGCGAUGCCGCGUGAGUGAAGAAGGCCCUUGGGUUGUAAAGCUCUUUCGUCGGGGAAGAAAAUGACUGUACCCGAAUAAGAAGGUCCGGCUAACUUCGUGCCAGCAGCCGCGGUAAUACGAAGGGACCUAGCGUAGUUCGGAAUUACUGGGCUUAAAGAGUUCGUAGGUGGUUGAAAAAGUUGGUGGUGAAAUCCCAGAGCUUAACUCUGGAACUGCCAUCAAAACUUUUCAGCUAGAGUAUGAUAGAGGAAAGCAGAAUUUCUAGUGUAGAGGUGAAAUUCGUAGAUAUUAGAAAGAAUACCAAUUGCGAAGGCAGCUUUCUGGAUCAUUACUGACACUGAGGAACGAAAGCAUGGGUAGCGAAGAGGAUUAGAUACCCUCGUAGUCCAUGCCGUAAACGAUGUGUGUUAGACGUUGGAAAUUUAUUUUCAGUGUCGCAGCGAAAGCGAUAAACACACCGCCUGGGGAGUACGACCGCAAGGUUAAAACUCAAAUGAAUUGACGGGGACCCGCACAAGUAGUGGAGCAUGUGGUUUAAUUCGAAGAUACGCGCAGAACCUUACCAACACUUGACAUGUUCGUCGCGACUCUAAGAGAUUAGAGUUUUCGGUUCGGCCGGACGAAACACAGGUGCUGCAUGGCUGUCGUCAGCUCGUGUCGUGAGAUGUUGGGUUAAGUCCCGCAACGAGCGCAACCCUCACUUUUAGUUGCCAUCAUUAAGUUGGGCACUCUGAAAGAACUGCCAGUGAUAAGCUGGAGGAAGGUGGGGAUGACGUCAAGUCCUCAUGGCCCUUACGUGUUGGGCUACACACGUGCUACAAUGGUAUCUACAACAGGAAGCAAGACUGCGAGGUCAAGCAAAUCCUUAAAAGAUACCUCAGUUCGGAUUGCACUCUGCAACUCGAGUGCAUGAAGCUGGAAUUACUAGUAAUCGUGGAUCAGCGUGCCACGGUGAAUGCGUUCCCGGGUCUUGUACACACCGC
This 1317-nucleotide ribosomal RNA is filed under the name uncultured Alphaproteobacteria bacterium. RNAcentral describes it as "bacterial SSU rRNA". It matches the Rfam family "Bacterial small subunit ribosomal RNA", at positions 29 to 1393 of the family's 1533-position model. Lineage: Bacteria; Pseudomonadati; Pseudomonadota; Alphaproteobacteria. The record is from RNAcentral.